GUGUGCUUGCAUAGGCCGUACAUUUGCUAAAAUUGGAACAACCCAGAAAAUUAGCAUGGCCCGAUGCAAGGAUGACACAUAAAUUAGUGAAACGUUUCAUUUGUUU
Molecule: small nuclear RNA, 106 nt
Organism: Dromiciops gliroides (monito del monte)
Lineage: Eukaryota; Metazoa; Chordata; Mammalia; Microbiotheria; Microbiotheriidae
Source: RefSeq, a predicted model, not a curated record